Molecule: long non-coding RNA, 1728 nt
Filed under: Betta splendens (Siamese fighting fish)
Lineage: Eukaryota; Metazoa; Chordata; Actinopteri; Anabantiformes; Osphronemidae
Description: lncRNA (ENSBSLG00000014369.1)
Source: RNAcentral
UUGAUUAUUAAUUAUUUUAAUAGAUUUUCUUUCCCUAUCUUAUUUAGGCUUGUUUAUGUCUCGGUCACGUUUAAAACAUUUGUAUAUUUGCCAACAAUGCAGAAUGUGUCACAAUUUAAAGAAAUAUUAAUUUCAUUAAUCUAUCUCAAUUUUUAACUAUGCAGAUAAACUAACUUAUUAAAAAAAACUAAAGCCGUCAAUAAGCUGAGUUCCUACACUGAUUUGUAUUUAUAAGUAAAUGUACUUUUAUAAAAUGCAGUUGUUAAAGGACAACACAUUAAAAUGAAAAUGACAUGUUGCACGCGAGCCAAAUCCACCAAAUAUCGGCCUUUAUAAAUUUCAGCUAAAUCCUCUGCAGGCAUCGGGGCGAGGCCCGUGUCGCCGAGGAUAACAUGACGUCAUGUCAUCUCCAGAGAUCAAGGCUCGUGACUUCUCGUUUCAUAUAAAGUAAAGCUGGCACGUUGGCGUUGACGCCUGGACGAUGCGCCCCUCCAACGGCACAGACCACGUGUCGGGAGCGGUGCCUCUCUCCGUGAGCUUCGACAGCGCCGCGGAUUACUUCAUCUUCACCUUCCAGGUUUUAUUCGCCACCACCACGGUUCUUGUGGCGGGGACGGUGGUCGUCGGCAUCUUAUGCAGCCGAGCGCUGCGCCUCCAGAACAGGUUCAUUUUCAUGUCCAACACCAGCAUUUGUGACACGCUGAUCGGCUUCUCCGUGUAUUAUCUGGGCCUGUUUGACGUCCAGGAGGGAUACCCGUCGAGGAACGGCACCUACAACGUGCUGCCCACACUCCUGGGGGUCAACAUCAUUACGUUUCUGUUUGCACAGUUAGACCGGUACUUUGCUGUGUGUCAUCCGUUCAUCUACAGCCGCUUCGUGACGCGGCGGGUCGUGAUCUGCGUUAACGUCGGCUGCUGGCUUUACAACUUCGCCCACGUGCUCGCCAGGAACCUGCUGCCACUCGGCAAAGCGGUGCAGAUGUACGCGCUCAGCAUAGUGCUCUUUCAGUUCAUCGUGCUCGCCAAUGUCGCCAUGACCGUUAAAUUGUACGUCGUUGCCCGAUUCCAAGUGGAGAGGGAGCCUCCGAGCGCCGAGAAAGACGGCAAAAAGGAAUCGCUGAGGAUCAUCAUCUUUGUUGUGAUGAGCUUUUUGUUGCUGUGGUUCCCCUCGUUUGUGAACAUCGUCCUCAGACUGACCGCAGGUCAAGGCCUGACGUUUCGAAACGAGGCCACGAACCUGUUCGCCAUCAUGGCCCGUUUCAACGCGGUGUGCACGCCCUCUGCUUACAUGUGGGGGAGUCCGGCUCUGCGGGAGGCGGCGCUGAGGACAGUGUGGGGCCGACUGUGUCCGCGGUGCAAGAGGAGAGUCGGCUCCAGCCACAGGAAGGAAGACAGGGCUACCGUCUUCUACAGGAAAUAACUAGGAACUAAGGAAUCCGACAUCCAAAGUGGAAAUUAAACCUGAUAUGUCACUAAUAUCAUAUUAGAACCAUAAUAUAAGGCUGUAAAUAAUGAAAGUGAUGUUGUGUCUUUGUGCAUUGGGCGUAAACAUCAUAAUUAUAAGUACAAUCCCGCAGAUUCAGUCUAAAAGCUCUAAAGCUCACAAUCCAAAUGAUUCUCUGGUUCAAAUACGGUAUGUCUGUGUGAUGCCUGGGCCCAAAAGGAACGGACUGUUCACAGACAAGUAAACCAUGCGCGUUCCUAUAAUAAAAACAGCCAACAGCUCCA